AAUGAACGCUGGCGGCAGGCCUAACACAUGCAAGUCGAGCGAACAAAGGAGGAGCUUGCUCGUCUGAAGCUGGGGGCGGCUGGGUGAGUCACACGUGGAUAACCUGCAUAUAAGAAUGGGGUACCAUAAGGAGAGCUGAGACAACAAACGAUCACAUGUUGAACCGGAGGGAUCAUCAGUGCACGACGGUCUUGCUGAUACUAAACGAAAGUUCCGGGCCGGAUUAGCUAGUUGGUACGGUAACGGCUUACCAAGGCAACGCUGCGUAGCCGACCUGAGAGGAUGAUCAGCCACACUGGAACUGAGACACGGUCCAGACUCCUACGGGAGGCAGCAGUGGGGAAUCUUCGGCAAUGGGCGAAAGCCUGAUGAAGCAACGCCGCGUGAGUGAAGAAGGUCUUCGGAUCGUAAAACACUGUUAGUAGGGAAGAACAGAUGUCUAUUUAACUAUGCACGUCUUGACGGUACCUAAUGAGAAAGCCACGGCUAACUACGUG
Molecule: ribosomal RNA, 497 nt
Filed under: uncultured bacterium
Lineage: Bacteria
Description: partial 16S ribosomal RNA
Rfam family: Bacterial small subunit ribosomal RNA
Source: RNAcentral